UGGAUUGAGAUGUAAUACCAGAAUCAGAGUCCCAUUCUUGAUCUGAGUGAGGUAAUGACAUGCUACGUCUUUUUACAAGUUUAGGACUCAAUCUUU
RNAcentral lists this small nucleolar RNA (96 nucleotides) under Tetranychus urticae (two-spotted spider mite). RNAcentral's name for it is "snoRNA tetur27g02553". The record is from RNAcentral. Lineage: Eukaryota; Metazoa; Arthropoda; Arachnida; Trombidiformes; Tetranychidae.